GCUUCAAUUCGACGCAACGCGCAGAACCUUACCAGCCCUUGACAUGGGACUCGCCGGGAGCAGAGACGCUCCCUUCGGUUCGGCCGGAGUCCGCACAGGUGCUGCAUGGCUGUCGUCAGCUCGUGUCGUGAGAUGUUGGGUUAAGUCCCGCAACGAGCGCAACCCUCGUCUCCAGUUGCCAUCAGGUUAAGCUGGGCACUUUGGAGAAACUGCCGGUGACAAGCCGGAGGAAGGUGGGGAUGACGUCAAGUCCUCAUGGCCCUUACGGGCUGGGCUACACACGUGCUACAAUGGCGGUGACAAUGGGAUGCGAUGGCGCGAGCCGGAGCCGAUCCUAAAAAACCGUCUCAGUUCGGAUUGCACUCUGCAACUCGAGUGCAUGAAGUUGGAAUCGCUAGUAAUCGAGGAUCAGCAUGCCUCGGUGAAUACGUUCCCGGGC
This 439-nucleotide ribosomal RNA is filed under the name uncultured Alphaproteobacteria bacterium. Its description in RNAcentral is "bacterial SSU rRNA". It matches the Rfam family "Bacterial small subunit ribosomal RNA", at positions 943 to 1379 of the family's 1533-position model. Lineage: Bacteria; Pseudomonadati; Pseudomonadota; Alphaproteobacteria. The record is from RNAcentral.